UCUAACUACUGUAUCUACUGUGGUAGGCACAUUCAUAUACAGGAUUUUCCUUUUAUCAUUAUAUAUGGCACUACAUUAUUUUGGUUUUACAAAUAAAAGACCUGAGAUUGGGUAAUUUGGCUAAGGUCAAACAGCUGUUCAGUGGAAGAGCUGGGAUCAAACUCCAAGUACUCUAUGUCUGGGUUCAUUCAUUUUAUCUUCCCGAAAACAGAGCCAUUAAGAAGUAAAACCACUUAUCUAAUGUUCCCAACUAUUUGCUGAAGAAGCCACAGUUGGUACAUGGACCAUUUCAUUCCCAGUCUGUUUGGAUUCUUUCAUUGACAUCUGUUGCUACCAGUAACAUUUUUUAGAUGACGACACAUAACCUCAGGCUUGACACCCUAAGGAAAAUGAGAAAGGGUGACACAGACAGAGUUAGACCUUCAUUUAAACAAAAUAGUUUACCACAAAUAGGGUGCAGUGAGUGUAUUGGGUUGAAUAGUGUCCUCCAAAAAUUCGUUUCUACUCAGAACCUCCAAAUGGAUUUGGAAAUUGGGCCUUUGUAGCUGUAAUUAGUUAAAGGUCUAGAAAUGCAGAUCUAUAAGUUAAGAGUGUAGAGGUGAAAUAAUCUUGGAAUUAGAGUGGCUCCAAAAUCCAGUUGUGAUUACCCUUUUAAGAGCAGCAGGCACAUGGAGAGACACUCAGGCAUAGAGGAGGUAGAGACAUAGGGAAGAAAACCAUGUGAAGAUGAAGGCAGGUGCUGGGAUUAAAAGAUGCAGCAAGCCAAGGGUACUAGGCACUGUCAGCAAUCACCAGAAGCUGGAAUAGAGCCAUGAGACAGAUUGUUCCUAUGACAUAAUUUCUAUCAAAAUAAAAAUAUGUUACCUGGGAAGACUAACAUAUCCAACAAAAACUUAAUAGCAGUGUUCUUUUAAAAAAUGAUAAUUGUUUCUAAUAUCUUAUUCUAGAAGAUCUUAGGCUCCUUCAGAGUAUUUUAACUGGAUUUGAGCAAGGGUUUUUGAAAGUAAAAGUCAAAUGCUCCUGGCUUUAAUUUCUGAGAGUUGCAAUUAUGGUAAAUCAUGACUAGAUCUUUAAAACAUACUUGGUAUCACAUUAAUAUCCUAAAACUCAUGGUGAUAUAGUAUACUUGAUUAUAGUUUGCAGUCCAAAGAAAGGUAUUUUGAAAGCAGUAGAUUUAAAUUUUGUAUUGAAUGUGUUCUCUAUAUUUCAAGUAUAGUAGAACUACAAAUUCAUGUGCUAGCUGAAAAUAUUAGAGCAUAAUUAAGCCUAUAUUUCUUACAACUUUAGGUUACUUGGAAGGGUAAAUAUUUUAAUGGGUGCAUUUUCCAUCUAUUUUCUGUUCAGGUGCUUGUGUGUAGGCUUUAUUAAGCAUAAAGAAAUAAACCUAGUCUAAAUUUAUGACACCUCUUUGUUCAUAAUAGAAUAAAGCAUAAUUUUUACUUCCUCUGCAUAAAAUGCACAUACAUCUUCCACAUAAAUUUGAAUUAUUUUUCUCAUUUUCUAAGAGAUGGUGAUUUCUUAAGACGAAUUCCAGCAGAACUCUGAAGUGCUAUUGAGAGAAGAGAACCAAGGGUAAAUGAUGAAUUUAGGUGUUAUUUCAUGUUUUUAAGCCCAAGAGUUAGACAAGCUCUUUUUGUUCUAUCAGUGCAUGGCUUUGAAAUUUCUGAAAUUUUCUUGGCUCUCCUUCUUUGGCUUCUGUCAGUACUCUUUCUCUAUUACCGUAGAUUGGGAUUUCUUAACAUUGCACUACUGAUAUUUUGCUUCAGUAAUUCUUUUUUGGGGGUGCUGCAUUGUGUAUUAUAGGAUAUUUAGUAGCAUUUAUGAUUUUACCCACUAGAUGCCAGUGGUACUUCCUGAGUUAGUUACAACCCAAAACAUCUCCGGAUAUUCCAAACAUCCCUUGGGGAACAAAAAUCAUUCCUAGUUGAGAAGCACCAAAGUUUACAUGCGUCAUCUCCUUCAUUUUAAAUCUGUCAAAGGACUUCCUGAAGAUUUGGGAAUGAUUGGUUUCCUCAUAUUAUUAAUAUUUUAGGCUACUGGAAUUUUAGAAUUAAUCCCAAAGCUUUAUUCAUUAUGCAAAUUCAAAAUCAAGUUUGGAAAAGCUAUGACUUGAUUCAUUCAAACAUAGGAUGGUAUUGCUCUUUACAUCUCAUGAUCAUCGUUUAACCUGUUUUAUGAUUCACUAAUGCUCCUGUGCAUUUUAAUUUUUCCUUACCCUUAAGUCUAAAUAUUUGUGCUUCUUUAUCCACCUUUUUUCAGUAGUUCUUUCUCACUGUCUAGAGUUCCAGCCUCUCCACUUGGCUCCAUGGGUAUUUCUAGUUUAGUGCAGUAGAAAAAUUAUUACACUUUUUUGUGUACUUAUAUCAUGCUUUAGGUUCAUUAGGCCUUUUUUAUAUUUAAUAUUUUCAUUUAUUAAUUUAUUAAGUAUUUUGUGUAUUUUCUAGUAUCAAGCCAUAUACAAGAUUCUGGGCAUCUAGCCAGGAAUGAGGUGGCUUGUAACUGUUGUAGCAAAAUAACUUUUGAUACAAAUAGACUUAACAUAUCUUCCUAGGGUAUUAAUCAAACCUCUCUAGGUUUAUUCUUUUAUAUGCUUCUCGUUAGCUGAAACCUGAUUUUGUAGCCAUUAGUAGGUCUGACGUUUCUCUUCUUUUAGACUCUCGUUUCACUUGCCAAACACUGUAAAUAAUAAUAGGCACCAAAUGACCUAUAGAGACCUCCUUCCCAUCCAGGAACAUCAAGCUGUUGCAUUCUCCCCAUUUCUUCAGAAAACCCAAAUAUUGUUCUCCUCCUCAAAGUGGAGUCUCACUUUGUCAUUUCCUUUCUUUUUAUUUUUACUUUUUGUCUUUUUUCUGUCAUAUGGAAGUUCCCAGGCUAGGGGUCAAAUUGGAGCUGCAGCUUCCAGCCUACACCACAGCUCACAGCAACACCGGGUCCUUAACCCAAUGAGCGAGGCUAGAGAUUGAAUCUGCAUCCUCAUGGAAGCUAGUCAGGUUUGUUAUGCUGAGCCACAAUGGGAACUCCUGUCAUUCUAUUUCUUAACUAUCUGAUUCUCUGAGGCUUUACUGUUCGUCAUUGGCUGACUAUGAUUCAACUUUUUAGUCAGUCACGUAGGUACUUUAUUGUGUGAAAUGGUACUUUUACAUUUUCUAGUUGUCCCAUAAAAUUAAUUUUUAAUGAUUGCAAUUAAUUUCAAUAAUUUAUAGUAUUUAACCUAAUAUAACCAAACUAUUGCUAUUUUAACAUAUAAUCAAUGUAGGAUGAUUAAUGAGCUAGUUUAUUAUUUUUGUUUUGCACUAAGUCCUUGAAUUCUAAUGUUUGUUUUCUAGUUAGAGCAUACCUCACUUUAGACUAUCCAUGUUGUAAGAACUCAAAAGCCCUAUGUGGCUAUUGAAUGAUCUGCUGGAUGGCAAAGAUUUAGAAUAUUAACUUUUCCAGCCUACCACACCCCAAGUGCAGAAAGCCCUAGCAAAUGUGUUAUGGUAUCCCCAAGACUGACAUAGCCUGCCAUUUCUAGACAUAUGUUUUCUUUCAGUUGUUGUUUAUAUUUUUUCCAUUUUGUCAUUAGAAAAACCACUUAAGUGUGUGUUGCUUGGAAAGGAAAGGGUUAGUGCUGUUGGAUUCCUCACUGUGGUGCAUGCAAUAGUCUGGGGUUUACACUAUUAUGUCCCUAUAAAGCAUGCUGCUGUACAUCUCCUAACAAGACUGCCAUUCAUUUUUUUCAAUAAAUCCUGCACAGGGGUAUUAGGGUCUGUGAACUGACAAUUGAUUUACUGUCUGGAAAAUUAUUCUUUAUUGAUUUAUAUUACAUGGAAGCGACUGCAAAUCUAUAGUGUCUCUAAUCAGAGAGAAAAUGCUAAAGUUAGUGUCAUUCUUAUUUAGACAGGCAAUUCCAAGUAGGAGAAUUGGUUUAGCACCUCUAGGUGACAUCUCCGUAUUAUUCAAUUUUUAAUUCCUAUAACCCAUGAAUUAUAAUACAUAAAGCAAGUGAGAGCAGGAUAAUUAAUUUUUUUAAAAGACCCCAAGAGUCCUUUGUGCAAAUAAGUAUUUUAAAUGUCAAUUUAGAGUUCCCAUCAUGGCACAGUGGAAACAAAUCUGACUGGGAACCAUGAGGUUGCAGGUUCGAUCCCUGGCCUCAUUCAGCGGGUUAAGGAUCUGGCACUGCCGUGAGCUGUGGGUUGCAGACAUAGCUUGGAUCCUAUGUUGCUGUGACUGUGGCAUAGGCCAGCAGCUGUAGCUCGGAUUCAACCUCUAGCCUGGGAACCUCCAUAUGCCACAGGUGUGGCCCU
This 4286-nucleotide long non-coding RNA is filed under the name Sus scrofa (pig). RNAcentral's name for it is "lncRNA (ENSSSCG00000052529.1)". Lineage: Eukaryota; Metazoa; Chordata; Mammalia; Artiodactyla; Suidae. The record is from RNAcentral.